AUUGAACGCUGGCGGCAGGCCUAACACAUGCAAGUCGAGCGGAUGAAGGGAGCUUGCUCCUGGAUUCAGCGUCGGACGGGUGAGUAAUGCCUAGGAAUCUGCCUGGUAGUGGGGGAUAACGUCCGGAAACGGGCGCUAAUACCGCAUACGUCCUGAGGGAGAAAGUGGGGGAUCUUCGGACCUCACGCUAUCAGAUGAGCCUAGGUCGGAUUAGCUAGUUGGUGGGGUAAGGGCCUACCAAGGCGACGAUCCGUAACUGGUCUGAGAGGAUGAUCAGUCACACUGGAACUGAGACACGGUCCAGACUCCUACGGGAGGCAGCAGUGGGGAAUAUUGGACAAUGGGCGAAAGCCUGAUCCAGCCAUGCCGCGUGUGUGAAGAAGGUCUUCGGAGUGUAAAGCACGUUAAGUUGGGAGGAAGGGCAGUAAGUUAAUACCUUGCUGUUUUGACGUUACCAACAGAAUAAGCACCGGCUAACUUCGUG
Molecule: ribosomal RNA, 484 nt
Filed under: uncultured bacterium
Lineage: Bacteria
Description: partial 16S ribosomal RNA
Rfam family: Bacterial small subunit ribosomal RNA
Source: RNAcentral